This 398-nucleotide ribosomal RNA is filed under the name uncultured bacterium. RNAcentral's name for it is "bacterial SSU rRNA". It matches the Rfam family "Bacterial small subunit ribosomal RNA", at positions 30 to 428 of the family's 1533-position model. The record is from RNAcentral.
AUUGAACGCUGGCGGCAUGCCUUACACAUGCAAGUCGAACGGCAGCACGGGAGCAAUCCUGGUGGCGAGUGGCGAACGGGUGAGUAAUAUAUCGGAACGUGCCCAGUCGUGGAGGAUAACGUAGCGAAAGCUACGCUAAUACCGCAUACGAUCUAUGGAUGAAAGCGGGGGAUCGCAAGACCUCGCGCGAUUGGAGCGGCCGAUAUCAGAUUAGGUAGUUGGUGAGGUAAAGGCUCACCAAGCCGACGAUCUGUAGCUGGUCUGAGAGGACGACCAGCCACACUGGGACUGAGACACGGCCCAGACUCCUACGGGAGGCAGCAGUGGGGAAUAUUGGACAAUGGGCGAAAGCCUGAUCCAGCAAUGCCGCGUGAGUGAUGAAGGCCUUCGGGUCGUAA